RNAcentral lists this ribosomal RNA (486 nucleotides) under uncultured bacterium. RNAcentral's name for it is "partial 16S ribosomal RNA". It matches the Rfam family "Bacterial small subunit ribosomal RNA", at positions 30 to 507 of the family's 1533-position model. The record is from RNAcentral.
AUUGAACGCUGGCGGCAUGCCUAACACAUGCAAGUCGAGCGGCAGCAGGGGUGUUUGCCCCUGGUUCAGCGGGGGGCGGGGGAGUGAUAUAUAUGAGUAUAUCUGCUGGUGGGGGGUAUAGUCCGGAGACGGGCGCUUUUAUACCACAUGCGCUCUGCGGGAGAGAGGGGGGGCUCUUCACCCCUCGCGCUCUGGUGUUCCCCGAUGGCUGAUUAGCUAGUUGGUGGGGUAAAGGCCUACCAAGGCGACGAUCAGUAGCUGGUCUGAGAGGAAGACCAGCCACACUGGAACUGAGACACGGCCCAGACUCCUACGGGAGGCAGCAGUGGGGAAUUUUGGACAAUGGGCGAAAGCCUGAUCCAGCAAUGCCGCGUGUGUGAAGAAGGUCUUCGGAUUGUAAAGCACUUUUGGUUGGGAGGAAGGCCUGUGCGUUAAUACGUUGCUGUGAUGACGUUACCGAAAGAAUAAGCACCGGCUAACUACGUG